CCGAAUUGUCAACAAGAGUUGUUGCUGGUCCUCAAAACGGGGGCAUGUGCACGCUCUGUUAACACAUCCACUCACACCUGUGCACCCUCUGUGGUUCUGUGGUUGGGGGGCCUUGUCCUCUUGCUGCGGUUCUGCAUCUUUACACACACACUGUAACAAAGUCUCAUGGAAUGCAUCUAUGCGUUUAACGCGAUACAAUA
RNAcentral lists this unclassified non-coding RNA (200 nucleotides) under uncultured Tomentella. Its description in RNAcentral is "sequence contains ITS1". The record is from RNAcentral. Lineage: Eukaryota; Fungi; Basidiomycota; Agaricomycetes; Thelephorales; Thelephoraceae.